This 1220-nucleotide ribosomal RNA is filed under the name metagenome. Its description in RNAcentral is "bacterial LSU rRNA". It matches the Rfam family "Bacterial large subunit ribosomal RNA", at positions 1718 to 2925 of the family's 2925-position model. The record is from RNAcentral.
AAAAUUAACACCGUAACUUCGGGAGAAGGUGUGCCCCGGUAGCGUGUAGAGACUUGCUCUCGAAGCGCGAUGGGGUUGCAGUGAAAUGGUGGCUGCGACUGUUUAAUAAAAACACAGCACUCUGCAAACACGAAAGUGGACGUAUAGGGUGUGACGCCUGCCCGGUGCCGGAAGGUUAAGUGAUGGGGUGCAAGCUCUUGAUCGAAGCCCCGGUAAACGGCGGCCGUAACUAUAACGGUCCUAAGGUAGCGAAAUUCCUUGUCGGGUAAGUUCCGACCUGCACGAAUGGCGUAACGAUGGCCACACUGUCUCCUCCUGGGACUCAGCGAAGUUGAAAUGUUUGUGAAGAUGCAAUCUACCCGCGGCUAGACGGAAAGACCCCAUGAACCUUUACUGUAGCUUUGCAUUGGACUUUGAACCGGUUUGUGUAGGAUAGGUGGGAGACUGUGAAGCCGGGACGCUAGUUUCGGUGGAGUCAACCUUGAAAUACCACCCUGAUUUGUUUGAGGUUCUAACCUUGGUCCGUGAAUCCGGAUCGGGGACCGUGCAUGGUAGGCAGUUUGACUGGGGCGGUCUCCUCCCAAAAGGUAACGGAGGAGUACGAAGGUACGCUUAGGGCGGUCGGACAUCGCCCACAAAGUGCAAUGGCAAAAGCGUGCUUGACUGCGAGACCCACAAGUCGAGCAGGUACGAAAGUAGGUCAUAGUGAUCCGGUGGUUCUGUAUGGAAGGGCCAUCGCUCAACGGAUAAAAGGUACUCUGGGGAUAACAGGCUAAUUCCUCCCAAGAGUUCAUAUCGACGGGGGAGUUUGGCACCUCGAUGUCGGCUCAUCACAUCCUGGGGCUGUAGUCGGUCCCAAGGGUAUGGCUGUUCGCCAUUUAAAGUGGUACGCGAGCUGGGUUUAAAACGUCGUGAGACAGUUUGGUCCCUAUCUGCCGUGGGCGCUGGAAAUUUGAAGGGGGCUGCUCCUAGUACGAGAGGACCGGAGUGGACGAACCUCUGGUGUACCGGUUAUGACGCCAGUCGUAUCGCCGGGUAGCUAAGUUCGGAAGAGAUAAACGCUGAAAGCAUCUAAGCGUGAAACACGCCUUAAGAUAAGAUUUCCCGGAGUCUUGAACUCCCUGAAGGGUCGUCGAAGACCACGACGUUGAUAGGUCAGGUGUGGAAGCGCAGCAAUGCGUUAAGCUAACUGAUACUAAUUGCCCGUGCCGCUUGAUCCU